RNAcentral lists this non-coding RNA (82 nucleotides) under uncultured Pontimonas sp. Its description in RNAcentral is "Glycine riboswitch". It matches the Rfam family "Glycine riboswitch aptamer", at positions 8 to 87 of the family's 94-position model. From Rfam's summary of the family: This family represents the bacterial glycine riboswitch. Glycine riboswitches usually consist of two metabolite-binding aptamers domains with similar structures in tandem. The aptamers cooperatively bind glycine to regulate the expression of downstream genes. Lineage: Bacteria; Bacillati; Actinomycetota; Actinomycetes; Micrococcales; Microbacteriaceae. The record is from RNAcentral.
CGCUAUGCGGGAGAGACACCGAAGAAAGGUGUCACCGAAGGAGCAAGCUUCCCCGCCAAUCUCUCAGGUACCCGUACCGCAU